Molecule: ribosomal RNA, 247 nt
Filed under: uncultured bacterium
Lineage: Bacteria
Description: partial 16S ribosomal RNA
Rfam family: Bacterial small subunit ribosomal RNA
Source: RNAcentral
UGACGAGUGGCGGGACGGGUGAAGUAAAGUCGUUAGGGAAUCUGUCUUAUGGAGGGGGAUAACUACGGGAAACUGUAGCUAAUACCGCAUAAAAUCUGAGGAUAAAAGGGUGGGCUCUUCGGACCACCUGCCAUAAGGUGAGCCCAAGUGGGAUUAGGUAGUUGGUGGGGUAAAGGCCUACCAAGCUGACGAUCUCUAGCUGGUCUGAGAGGAUGACCAGCCACACUGGAACUGAGACACGGUCCAG